AGUGCAGAAGAGGAGAGUGGGAUUCCAUGUGAAGCGGUGAAAUGCGUAGAUAUAUGGAGGAACACCAGUGGCGAAGGCGGCUCUCUGGUCUGUAACUGACGCUGAGGCUCGAAAGCGUGGGGAGCGAACAGGAUUAGAUACCCUGGUAGUCCACGCCGUAAACGAUGAGUGCUAAGUGUUGGAGGGUUUCCGCCCUUCAGUGCUGCAGCAAACGCAUUAAGCACUCCGCCUGGGGAGUACGACCGCAAGGUUGAAACUCAAAGGAAUUGACGGGGGCCCGCACAAGCGGUGGAGCAUGUGGUUUAAUUCGAAGCAACGCGAAGAACCUUACCAGGUCUUGACAUCCUUUGACCACUCUAGAGAUAGAGCUUCCCCUUCGGGGGCAAAGUGACAGGUGGUGCAUGGUUGUCGUCAGCUCGUGUCGUGAGAUGUUGGGUUAAGUCCCGCAACGAGCGCAACCCUUAUUGUUAGUUGCCAUCAUUUAGUUGGGCACUCUAGCGAGACUGCCGGUGACAAACCGGAGGAAGGUGGGGAUGACGUCAAAUCAUCAUGCCCCUUAUGACCUGGGCUACACACGUGCUACAAUGGGAAGUACAACGAGUUGCGAAGUCGCGAGGCUAAGCUAAUCUCUUAAAGCUUCUCUCAGUUCGGAUUGUAGGCUGCAACUCGCCUACAUGAAGCCGGAAUCGCUAGUAAUCGCGGAUCAGCACGCCGCGGUGAAUACGUUCCCGGGCCUUGUACACAC
Molecule: ribosomal RNA, 745 nt
Filed under: uncultured bacterium
Lineage: Bacteria
Description: bacterial SSU rRNA
Rfam family: Bacterial small subunit ribosomal RNA
Source: RNAcentral